Molecule: long non-coding RNA, 702 nt
Filed under: Bos taurus (domestic cattle)
Lineage: Eukaryota; Metazoa; Chordata; Mammalia; Artiodactyla; Bovidae
Description: long non-coding RNA NONBTAT011821
Source: RNAcentral
AGCCAGGCAGGCAGCUCUUUCCUGGCGCCAGACUGUUUUUCCUAGCAGAAAAGUUUAUGUAACAGCUGUAAAAAUACAAGUGUGCUAUAAUCUGUACUUGCCUCGCAAGCUAAGCUUUCCCGAACUUCCCCACUUUACUGUGCCGGAUUGCUGAAAGCGGUUUAAGAACAAACCACAUUAUAUGGGUGGCUCUAGUAGAAACAAUGCUGUUGAAUUUUUUGAAAAGUGUUGAUUUCUUUAAAAAGAAAAAAAAAAUAUUUUUCUCUUUGAAGAACUACUCUGGCCAUUUUACAUUGUUAUUUCACAUAUUUAAUUUGCAUAAUUAGUAUUGUGGAAAUCAAAGUUCUUCUUGAGACCACCAUGGUCAAUUCAGUUUGAUUUUUCGUGUGUGUGUUUUAACCUUAUACCUAACUGCUGUUUGUCUGUUUUUUUCCUCAAGAACGUAAUAGGUAACAUGGUAUUUGUUAAGCCCUCAAAAGUGACAGAAAGAGCUGGGCUAGGCACAUUGAUGAUUUGAAAACGGUUUUUCAUGAGAUUCAUAAAGAAAUGCACCAGUGUUUUAAUAACAGGUAUUCGUGAUCAACAGCAAUGACAUAAUCAUCACAUUUUGCCUUUCAUAGCACACAUAAACACAUCUUGCCUAGUUCCUCAAAAGGUGUACUUUUUCUUUUAAUAGCGUACAAGCGUGUGUCUGUGUGUGAA